GUUAGCAAUUCUGAGUGGGUAAGUAAUCCAACAAGAUCCCACAGCAAACAUCUCUUGGGUGACUGGACCAAUAAUGAAAGAAAGCAGAGAUGGCAUUUCAGCUGGGUGUACAACCAAAUCUGCAAUAUCUCUGAGGUCUGCCUCUGUGGAGUUCUUUUGAAAAACUGUAAAAGAGAAUGUGAACAAGGCAUGGAUAGCCUGGUUCUGGGUGUGCAAAGCUGUGGCUUCCCCUCCUAUGGACGCCUUCUGAACAGGAGAUCUGACUUCCUCCCCAAACCAAGGCAUCCUGAAAACAUUCGAACAGAGGAAGCAUUUUUUCACCAUGACAUAGGAAAGGGCCACAGAGAUCCAAGUGGAAACGGACAUUUCAUAUGCUUCCAUUCUGAACUUGCGGAACAUAGCUGUUGGAGAGCACAAAUGUUGUUUUAAUUCCUCAUGGGAAGUCAAAAUGUCCUUAGAGAAGUCACCCUAGAGCCAUCCUUAGAAAUGGCAUGCUGUAGA
Manis javanica (Malayan pangolin) is the source of this 501-nucleotide long non-coding RNA. RefSeq lists it as uncharacterized. NCBI's taxonomy places the organism in Eukaryota, Metazoa, Chordata, Mammalia, Pholidota, Manidae. The record is from RefSeq and is a predicted model, not a curated record.